RNAcentral lists this RNase P RNA (382 nucleotides) under Sphingomonas sp. SORGH_AS_0742. RNAcentral describes it as "RNase P class A". It matches the Rfam family "Bacterial RNase P class A". From Rfam's summary of the family: Ribonuclease P (RNase P) is a ubiquitous endoribonuclease, found in archaea, bacteria and eukarya as well as chloroplasts and mitochondria. The record is from RNAcentral. Lineage: Bacteria; Pseudomonadati; Pseudomonadota; Alphaproteobacteria; Sphingomonadales; Sphingomonadaceae. RNAcentral also lists the same sequence under 1 other name.
UCAGAGGGCCGGGCGGCCGCGGCCUCGGGAAACCGGGGGCGAGGAAAGUCCGGGCUCCACGGAACGACGGUGCCGGGUAACGCCCGGCGGGGGUGACCCCAGGGACAGUGCCACAGAGAGCAGACGGCCACGGCUUCGGCCAGGUCAGGGUGAAAGGGUGCGGUAAAAGCGCACCGCGGGUCCGGUAACGGAAACGGCAUGGCAAACCCCACCGGGAGCAAGACCGAAUAGGGACGGCAUGGCGCCUUCGGGUGUCGGGGUGUGUUCCCACCCGCCGUCCGGGUUGGUUGCUUGAGGCGAUGUGCAAGCAUCGUCCUAGAAGAAUGGUCGCCCAUCCGGCUUUGCCGGUGGACAGAACCCGGCUUACAGGCCCUCUGGCUGA